Molecule: ribosomal RNA, 443 nt
Filed under: uncultured bacterium
Lineage: Bacteria
Description: partial 16S ribosomal RNA
Rfam family: Bacterial small subunit ribosomal RNA
Source: RNAcentral
CCUACGGGUGGCAGCAGUGGGGAAUCUUGGUCAAUGGAGGAAACUCUGAACCAGCAACGCCGCGUGAAUGAUGAAGGUCUUCGGAUUGUAAAGUUCUUUUCUAAGGGAAGAAGAAAGUGACGGUACCUUAGGAAUAAGCCUCGGCUAACUACGUGCCAGCAGCCGCGGUAAUACGUAGGAGGCGAGCGUUAUCCGGAAUGACUGGGCGUAAAGGGUGCGUAGGUGGUUUUACAAGUUCGUAGCGUAACUCCGAGGCUCAACCUCGACACUACUACCAAAACUGUCGAACUUGAGUGCAGGAGGGGAAAGUGGAAUUCCUAGUGUAGCGGUGGAAUGCGCAGAUAGUAGGAGGAACACCGGUGGCGAAGGCGAAUUGCUGGACUGUAACUGACACUGAGGCACGAAAGCGUGGGGAGCAAACAGGAUUAGAUACCCCGGUAGUC